This 425-nucleotide ribosomal RNA is filed under the name uncultured bacterium. RNAcentral describes it as "partial 16S ribosomal RNA". It matches the Rfam family "Bacterial small subunit ribosomal RNA", at positions 354 to 796 of the family's 1533-position model. The record is from RNAcentral.
GUGGGGAAUCUUGCGCAAUGGGCGAAAGCCUGACGCAGCCAUGCCGCGUGGAUGAUGAAGGUCUUAGGAUUGUAAAAUCCUUUCACCGGUGAAGAUAAUGACUGUAGCCGGAGAAGAAGCCCCGGCUAACUUCGUGCCAGCAGCCGCGGUAAUACGAAGGGGGCUAGCGUUGCUCGGAUUUACUGGGCGUAAAGGGCGCGUAGGCGGACAUUUAAGUCAGGGGUGAAAUCCCGGGGCUCAACCUCGGAACUGCCUUUGAUACUGGGUGUCUUGAGUAUGAGAGAGGUGUGUGGAACUCCGAGUGUAGAGGUGAAAUUCGUAGAUAUUCGGAAGAACACCAGUGGCGAAGGCGACACACUGGCUCAUUACUGACGCUGAGGCGCGAAAGCGUGGGGAGCUAACAGGAUUAGAAACCCUAGUAGUCC